UGCAGUCGAGCGGACAGAAGGGAGCUUGCUCCCGGAUGUUAGCGGCGGACGGGUGAGUAACACGUGGGUAACCUGCCUGUAAGACUGGGAUAACUCCGGGAAACCGGAGCUAAUACCGGAUAGUUCCUUGAACCGCAUGGUUCAAGGAUGAAAGACGGUUUCGGCUGUCACUUACAGAUGGACCCGCGGCGCAUUAGCUAGUUGGUGGGGUAAUGGCUCACCAAGGCGACGAUGCGUAGCCGACCUGAGAGGGUGAUCGGCCACACUGGGACUGAGACACGGCCCAGACUCCUACGGGAGGCAGCAGUAGGGAAUCUUCCGCAAUGGACGAAAGUCUGACGGAGCAACGCCGCGUGAGUGAUGAAGGUUUUCGGAUCGUAAAGCUCUGUUGUUAGGGAAGAACAAGUGCGAGAGUAACUGCUCGCACCUUGACGGUACCUAACCAGAAAGCCACGGCUAACUACGUGCCAGCAGCCGCGGUAAUACGUAGGUGGCAAGCGUUGUCCGGAAUUAUUGGGCGUAAAGGGCUCGCAGGCGGUUUCUUAAGUCUGAUGUGAAAGCCCCCGGCUCAACCGGGGAGGGUCAUUGGAAACUGGGAAACUUGAGUGCAGAAGAGGAGAGUGGAAUUCCACGUGUAGCGGUGAAAUGCGUAGAGAUGUGGAGGAACACCAGUGGCGAAGGCGACUCUCUGGUCUGUAACUGACGCUGAGGAGCGAAAGCGUGGGGAGCGAACAGGAUUAGAUACCCUGGUAGUCCACGCCGUAAACGAUGAGUGCUAAGUGUUAGGGGGUUUCCGCCCCUUAGUGCUGCAGCUAACGCAUUAAGCACUCCGCCUGGGGAGUACGGUCGCAAGACUGAAACUCAAAGGAAUUGACGGGGGCCCGCACAAGCGGUGGAGCAUGUGGUUUAAUUCGAAGCAACGCGAAGAACCUUACCAGGUCUUGACAUCCUCUGACAACCCUAGAGAUAGGGCUUUCCCUUCGGGGACAGAGUGACAGGUGGUGCAUGGUUGUCGUCAGCUCGUGUCGUGAGAUGUUGGGUUAAGUCCCGCAACGAGCGCAACCCUUGAUCUUAGUUGCCAGCA
This 1084-nucleotide ribosomal RNA is filed under the name Bacillus safensis. RNAcentral's name for it is "bacterial SSU rRNA". It matches the Rfam family "Bacterial small subunit ribosomal RNA", at positions 56 to 1123 of the family's 1533-position model. The record is from RNAcentral. Lineage: Bacteria; Bacillati; Bacillota; Bacilli; Caryophanales; Bacillaceae.